GCAUUGGUGAUUCAGUGGUAGGGUUCUCGACUGCCACAUGGGAGACCAGGGUUCAAUUCCCAGCCAGUGCA
Molecule: transfer RNA, 71 nt
Filed under: Loxodonta africana (African savanna elephant)
Lineage: Eukaryota; Metazoa; Chordata; Mammalia; Proboscidea; Elephantidae
Rfam family: tRNA
About the family: Transfer RNA (tRNA) molecules are approximately 80 nucleotides in length.
Source: Rfam by way of RNAcentral